CCUCACACACAGCCUCCCCUCCCUCCACCGCCGUGCCAGCCGCCCACAUCCUCUGCUCUCCACUGACCCUCUCCACUCCAGACUCCGCGCGUCGGUGUCUCCAGCCAGCCACAGCCAGUCAGUCCCGGGAGAGUGGCUGAGCAACGCACGUGUCUGGUUUACUCUGCUGCCGCUCCGCUUUGCCUUACCUCCUUUCCUCACCUCCUCAGUGCAUAGCACCCGCAGACCACACCAGACCAGCGCAAUGAAGAGUAUCAGCAGCACAGUGGCAGUAGUGGUGGUGGCGGUGGUGGUGGUGGUGGCGCGGGGUGUGGAGGGAGGCAGAGAGAAGCGAUACAUCUUUGUCAACCCCGACGCUCCCAUCACUCUAGGUUUCAUCCUUAACAUGCCCAUCUCCCUCGCCUUGCCCACUCUGGCGCCUAAGUUUGGAAGGGCGCUGGACGAGGUGGGCGGCGGGCCGGGCGAGUGGGAGACAGACGGCCUUCAGAAGCUAGCGCGCCACAGACAUCUUCGCCCGGAGCAGCUUUCAUGGGACCCCGCUUACGAUCUGCCCUUGUCACACCUCACUGCCUACUUCUCUCAUCUUGAGCUCCCCACACUACCCUGCCAGGAGCGCCUCUUGUGCGAGCUGGCAGCGGAACCAGAGACAUUUGAACCCAUUAACCAGAUCUUCAUGAAGGAGCUGAGGCAGCUGUAUGGGCCAGUGAACACCUCACAGGACUCCCUCAUGUGGCGGUAUAUGAUGGCUGUCAAGGAGGGCUUCAGGGCGCACAUUGAGGAGUGUGCUGUCAAAUAUGAGUUCUGUCCGCUGCCCGCCGACCGCAUCCUCAACAUGCCGGUACUCAAAGUGUGGCAGUACAUCGCGUCCAAACUAAACCUGCAGCUUGUCUAGGCCUGUGUGUGUGUGUGUGUGUGUGUGUGUGUGUGUGUGUGUGUGUGUGUGUGUGUGUGUGUGUGUGUGUGUGUGUGUGUGUGUGUGUGUGUGUGUGUGUGUGUGUGUGUGUGUGUGUGUGUGUGUGUGUGUGUGUAUCU
Molecule: unclassified non-coding RNA, 1032 nt
Filed under: Portunus trituberculatus (swimming crab)
Lineage: Eukaryota; Metazoa; Arthropoda; Malacostraca; Decapoda; Portunidae
Description: uncharacterized LOC123507230, transcript variant X3
Source: RNAcentral